GAGACUCACCCAACUCAGGUAAAGUCCAUGAUCUUCACCACAGCAUCUGUGUUCUUGUCACUUUCUGGGACGGUGUUUCUCUCUUCUGAGUCCUCCACCCCCUCACCUGUGGUUUGGAUUGGUUGGAGUUUGACUGAGUAGUAAUGGCCACUUGGUUGGUUUCCAUGGCCUGGCGUGUGCUGUAGCUGUAGGAGAGGGCUGCCUGUGUCCAUGAGAACAAGGAAGCCUUCAGGAGAGAAAUCAGCCACUGCCACCCCCCAGUCCUUUAGGAGGCAGUCAGGCUGCUGACAAAGGGACCUCACGCUCCUCCCACGCAUUGCCUGGACCAGCUGGCAGCCCACAGGGGUGGCUUCAGGUCACUUCCUGCUGCAGAGUCCUCACUCCAGCUUUCUCACCAAUCCUCCCCCUACACAAGAAGAUCAUCUCUGGGUUCAGGUCACCCAUCCAACUCCACUGAUGGAUUUAGGCUCAUUUAAUCCAAACUCGACUCCAUUUCAGCCAGAACCAGGCACCUCUAGAAAGGUCACCCUAACUGCCACAUCCAGUUCCUGAUCUGCCAUCUGCUUCUUUUCCAUCACUUGUGGGGUAUUUCCCAGCCUACCACUAAUGUGAGCCCUCCUGAGUCAAAAGUUCCCCUCUUCCAGGCCUCCUGCUCAGCUGACGUCCUGGACCAGGCAGGCCACCCUUGUUCCACUUCCCCUGGGAAGACACCUGGGUCUUGUGCCUGCCCUGGAUUAGGGUGGGCAAAUUAGUUCAUCCAGGACUAGAAGAAUGGAAAUAAACAGACUUGUGUCUUGGGGCUGA
RNAcentral lists this long non-coding RNA (804 nucleotides) under Homo sapiens (human). RNAcentral describes it as "HSALNT0298124". The record is from RNAcentral. Lineage: Eukaryota; Metazoa; Chordata; Mammalia; Primates; Hominidae.